Dromiciops gliroides (monito del monte) is the source of this 298-nucleotide long non-coding RNA. RefSeq lists it as uncharacterized. The transcript has 3 exons. The record is from RefSeq and is a predicted model, not a curated record. NCBI's taxonomy places the organism in Eukaryota, Metazoa, Chordata, Mammalia, Microbiotheria, Microbiotheriidae.
AAAGAACUUCUAGGGGAAGGAUUCUGUCUUGGGAGUAUCUCACCCUCACUUCAUCAUCCCUUUCUCCUGUCUCAUACUCCAAAGGGCAAGUGUUGGGAAAGGAGCCCGGGGUGAGCCUGCUAAGGUCAAACUACUUGUACUCCAUGAUGGGGCACUCUUUCUUCCCAAGCUUCAAAGAAUCAGUUUUGUUGUCCCUGGUUUUACAGAAAAGAGGGAAAAUGAGUAUUAUCCAGCAUUCAGAGGAGGCAAAGAAGAAAGAAGCACAUAAUUGGCAAAUUCCUGAGAAAGUGUCACUCAA